Molecule: long non-coding RNA, 832 nt
Filed under: Mytilus galloprovincialis (Mediterranean mussel)
Lineage: Eukaryota; Metazoa; Mollusca; Bivalvia; Mytilida; Mytilidae
Source: RNAcentral
CUUUUUUUCUUUUUUUCUUUAAAAAUAUAUCUUGUGUAAAAUAAAUCAAAUAAUUUUAAACUUUAUAAAUUUUAUGAAAGAUAAAACAAAACCUUUGAUUAGUAAUAGAAGAAAAGUUAAACCCUUUUUUCCAUACUGUAUCAAAGUAAUUAAAAAAAAAAUCCAAUUGCAGUCAGAAUUUGCAUUGGAGGAUUGCUGUUUUAAUGAUGUCACAAUUAUCGGUACUGGCAUGAAAAUACGGAUUUUUUUUUUAUUAAAAUUAACUGUUACAAAAUGAUAGAAAUUAUUAUAAAUUAAGGAAUGUAUCUCCCUCAUGCAAAGCUCUGAUUCCUAUCACGGAUUUGGCUAUACUUUUUGGACCUUUUGGAUUAUAGCUCUUCAUCUUUUAUAUAAGCUUUGGAUUUCAAAUGUUUUGGCCACGAGCAUCACUGAAGAGACAUGUAUUGUCGAAAUGCGCAUCUGGUGCAAGAACAUUGGUACCGUUAAUUCAACUUAAUUGUAUUAUCUUUUAAAUGAAUCAAUUUAGAAAAGUUACAUAUAGGAAGUGUUAGAAAUAGGUUUUUUUAAUUACUUUAUUUUGACUGUAAAAACUGAUUUUUACUGUAAAUGAGAUCCACUGGGUCAAGGUACUUAUAAUUACAUUUAUAGCUGAGCUCUUUCAAAUGGUAGAGAUACCCCACUAUUUAUACAUGUAUAGGUAAAAGUCAUAAUAUUAUUGUCAUGUUCUACAAAUAAAUGUAUUGUUACAGUUAAAAUUUAAAAAAUGUAUUGUUACAGUUAAAAUUUAAAAAAUGUAAAAAUUGAAAAUACAGAAAUAAAAAUAUUUAAAAAC